GAUGAAGAACGUAGUGAAAUGCGAUAAGUAAUGUGAAUUGCAGAAUUCAGUGAAUCAUCGAAUCUUUGAACGCACAUUGCGCCCGCCAGUAUUCUGGCGGGCAUGCCUGUUCGAGCGUCAUUACAACCCUCAAGCCCCCGGGCCUGGCGUUGGGGAUCGGCGGAAGCCCCCUGCGGGCACAACGCCGUCCCCCAAAUACAGUGGCGGUCCCGCCGCAGCUUCCAUUGCGUAGUAGCUAACACCUCGCAACUGGAGAGCGGCGCGGCCACGCCGUAAAACACCCAACUUCUGAAUGUUGACCUCGAAUCAGGUAGGAAUACCCGCUGAACUUAAGCAUAUCAAUAAGCGGAGGA
RNAcentral lists this unclassified non-coding RNA (353 nucleotides) under soil metagenome. Its description in RNAcentral is "partial contains 5.8S ribosomal RNA, internal transcribed spacer 2, and large subunit ribosomal RNA". The stretch from base 1 to 120 matches the Rfam family "5.8S ribosomal RNA", at positions 35 to 154 of the family's 154-position model. The record is from RNAcentral.